Molecule: ribosomal RNA, 428 nt
Filed under: Bacteroidota bacterium
Lineage: Bacteria; Pseudomonadati; Bacteroidota
Description: Bacteroidetes bacterium partial 16S ribosomal RNA
Rfam family: Bacterial small subunit ribosomal RNA
Source: RNAcentral
UAGGGAAUCUUCCGCAAUGGACGCAAGUCUGACGGAGCAACGCCGCGUGAGUGAAGAAGGAUUUCGGUUCGUAAAACUCUGUUGUUAGAGAAGAACAGCGCAUAGAGUAACUGUUAUGCGUGUGACGGUAUCUAACCAGAAAGCCACGGCUAACUACGUGCCAGCAGCCGCGGUAAUACGUAGGUGGCAAGCGUUGUCCGGAUUUAUUGGGCGUAAAGCGAGCGCAGGCGGUUAGAAAAGUCUGAAGUUAAAGGCAGUGGCUCAACCAUUGUAGGCUUUGGAAACUGUUUACCUUGAGUGCGGAAGGGGAGAGUGGAAUUCCAUGUGUAGCGGUGAAAUGCGUAGAUAUAUGGAGGAACCCCGGUGGCGAAAGCGGCUCUCUGGUCUGUAACUGACGCUGAGGCUCGAAAGCGUGGGUAGCAAACAGG